This 74-nucleotide transfer RNA is filed under the name Comamonas sp. JNW. It matches the Rfam family "tRNA". From Rfam's summary of the family: Transfer RNA (tRNA) molecules are approximately 80 nucleotides in length. Lineage: Bacteria; Pseudomonadati; Pseudomonadota; Betaproteobacteria; Burkholderiales; Comamonadaceae. RNAcentral also lists the same sequence under 1 other name. The record is from Rfam by way of RNAcentral.
CGGAGCGUAGCGCAGCCUGGUAGCGCAUCUGCUUUGGGAGCAGAGGGUCGUGAGUUCGAAUCCCACCGCUCCGA